AGUGAACACUGGCGGUAGGCCUAACACAUGCAAGUCGAACGGCAGCACAGGAGAGCUUGCUCUCUGGGUGGCGAGUGCGGACGGGUGAGGAAUACAUCGGAAUCUACUCUGUCGUGGGGGAUAACGUAGGGAAACUUACGCUAAUACCGCAUACGACCUACGGGUGAAAGCAGGGGACCUUCGGGCCUUGCGCGAUUGAAUGAGCCGAUGUCGGAUUAGCUAGUUGGCGGGGUAAAGGCCCACCAAGGCGACGAUCCGUAGCUGGUCUGAGAGGAUGAUCAGCCAAACUGGAACUGAGACACGGUCCAGACUCCUACGGGAGGCAGCAGUGGGGAAUAUUGGACAAUGGGCGCAAGCCUGAUCCAGCCAUACCGCGUGGGUGAAGAAGGCCUUCGGGUUGUAAAGCCCUUUUGUUGGGAAAGAAAUCCAGCUGGCUAAUACCCGGUUGGGAUGACGGUACCCAAAGAAUAAGCACCGGCUAACUUCGUGCCAGCAGCCGCGGUAA
RNAcentral lists this ribosomal RNA (505 nucleotides) under uncultured bacterium. RNAcentral's name for it is "partial 16S ribosomal RNA". It matches the Rfam family "Bacterial small subunit ribosomal RNA", at positions 29 to 523 of the family's 1533-position model. The record is from RNAcentral.